This is a non-coding RNA of Tulasnella sp. JGI-2019a, 99 nucleotides long. NCBI's taxonomy places the organism in Eukaryota, Fungi, Basidiomycota, Agaricomycetes, Cantharellales, Tulasnellaceae. The record is from the annotation of a GenBank genome assembly.
GGGGUUCUAGCUCAUCGGUAGAGCGCUCCCUUAGCAGUUGCAUUACGCGCUUUCAAAAUCACAUGGGAGAAGUAAUGGGUUCGACUCCUAUGUACUCCA